Picea glauca (white spruce) is the source of this 121-nucleotide non-coding RNA. The record is from Rfam. Lineage: Eukaryota; Viridiplantae; Streptophyta; Pinopsida; Pinales; Pinaceae.
ACAUGCUUACAACAUAGUGUUAAUGCAUCGAAUUCCAUUAGAACUCCGUAGUUAAGCGUGCUUGGGCUAGAGUAGUAUUGGGAUGGGUGACCACUCAAGAAGUCCUAGUGUUUUACAUGCC